AGGGCGCAAGGAGAAUGCCUUGGCACUGGGAGCCGAUGAAAGACGUGGUAAGCUGCGAUAAGCUUCGGGGAGGAGCAAACAUCCUUUGAUCCGGAGAUUUCUGAAUGAGGAAACUCACCAGAGUUCAUACUCUGGUAUCCUGUACUGAAUCCAUAGGUACAGGAGGGGAACCGCCUGAACUGAAACAUCUAAGUAGGGCGAGGAAGAGACAUCAAACGAGAUUCCGUUAGUAGUGGCGAGCGAACGCGGAAGAGGGCAAACCGGAAGGAGAAAUCCUUCCGGGGUAUGGACCGCUUUUAGGACUUUAGCUGUUAAUCGAAUGGCAUGGGAAGGCCAACCAAAGAGUGUGAGAGUCACGUAGAUGAAAACGGCGAGAGCUGCGCGAGUUCCAGAGUACGGCCAGACACGUGAAACCUGGUCGGAAGAUGGGGGGACCACCCUCCAACCCUAAAUACUACCCAGUGACCGAUAGCGUAUAGUACUGUGAAGGAAAGGUGAAAAGGACCCCGGGAGGGGAGUGAAAUAGAACCUGAAACCUUGUGCCUACAAGCACAUAGAGCACAUCAACGUGUGAUAUGGUACCUUUUGUAGAAUGGUCCGGCGAGUGAAUGUAACUGGCGAGGUUAAGUUCUUAAGGAACGGAGCCGAAGCGAAAGCAAGUCUGAAUAGGGCGUCUUAGUCAGUUGUAUUCGACCCGAAACCGGGUGACCUAUCCAUGUCCAGGAUGAAGUUAAGGUAAAACUUGAUGGAGGUCCGAACCCACGGUCGUUGAAAUGCCCGGGGAUGAGAUGUGGAUAGCGGAGAAAUUCCAAUCGAACCCGGAUAUAGCUGGUUCUCUCCGAAAUAGCUUUAGGGCUAGCCUCGACUGAACAUUACCGGAGGUAGAGCACUGAAUGGGCUAGGGGCCGAGAGGUUACUGAACCCUAUCAAACUUCAAAUGCCGGAAAAUGAUAGUCGGGAGUCAGACUGCGUGAGAUAAGUUUCGUAGUCGAAAGGGAAACAGCCCAGACCCACAGCUAAGGUCCCAAAGUACGGUUAAGUGGAAAAGGAUGUGGGGUUGCAUAGACAACCAGGAUGUUGGCUUAGAAGCAGCCACUCAUUAAAAGAGUGCGUAAUAGCUCACUGGUCGAGUGACUCUGCGCGGAAAAUAUAACGGGGCUAAGCAUGAAACCGAAGCUUGGGCUUGUACUUAGGUACAGGGGUAGGGGAGCGUCGAGUAUGGGGUGAAGUCAGAGCGGAAGCACUGGUGGACUGUACUGGAGUGAGAAUGCCGGAAUGAGUAGCGAGAAUUAUGUGGGAAUCAUAAUGGCCGAAAAUCUAAGGUUUCUUGGGGAAGGUUCGUCCGCCCAAGGUAAGUCGGGAGCUAAGCUCAGGCCGAGAGGCGUAGGCGAUGCACAUACGGUAGAAAUUCCGUAACCACCGAAACUUAAACAGAGGGACACUUCGAAAUAGCGGAACCCGGGCGUUGGUUGACCCGGGCGUAAGGGAGCGAAAUUAGAGUAGCGAAGUCCGCGAUGUUCGGAGGCGAGAAAAGCUCUGAGGUAUGCUAAGGUGCCCGUACCGCAAACCGACACAGGUAGAUGAGGAGAGAAUCCUAAGGCCAACGGGAGAAGGGUUGUUAAGGAACUCGGCAAAUUGACCCCGUAACUUCGGAAGAAGGGGAGCCCCCUACGGGGGGUCGCAGAGAAAUGGCCCAAGCAACUGUUUACCAAAAACACAGGUCUAUGCUAAAUCGAAAGAUGACGUAUAUGGGCUGACGCCUGCCCGGUGCCGGAAGGUUAAGAGGAGAUGUCAGGCAACGAAGCAUUGAAUUUAAGCCCCGGUAAACGGCGGCCGUAACUAUAACGGUCCUAAGGUAGCGAAAUUCCUUGUCAGGUAAGUUCUGACCCGCACGAAUGGCGUAAUGAUUUGGGCACUGUCUCAACAGCCCGCCCGGCGAAAUUGUAGUACUGGUGAAGAUGCCAGUUACCCGCAACUAGACGGAAAGACCCCAUGGAGCUUUACUGCAGCUUAAUACUGAAAUUCGGUAGUACAUGUACAGGAUAGGUGGGAGACUGAGAAAUACAGGCGUCAGCUUGUGUGGAGUCGCUGUUGGGAUACCACUCUUGUACUGCUGGGUUUCUAACCUGCGGCCGUGAAUCCGGUCGGGGGACACUGUUAGGCGGGCAGUUUGACUGGGGCGGUCGCCUCCAAAAGAGUAACGGAGGCGCUCAAAGGUUCGUUCAGCACGGACGGAAAUCGUGCAUUGAGUGUAAACGCAUAAACGAGCCUAACUGCGAGACCGACGGGUCGAGCAGUAACGAAAGUUGGAGUUAGUGAUCCGGUGGUAUGUGAGUGGAAAUGCCAUCGCUCAACGGAUAAAAGUUACCCUGGGGAUAACAGGCUGAUCUCCCCCAAGAGUCCACAUCGACGGGGAGGUUUGGCACCUCGAUGUCGGCUCAUCGCAUCCUGGGGCUGAAUUCGGUCCCAAGGGUUUGGCUGUUCGCCAAUUAAAGCGGCACGCGAGCUGGGUUCAGAACGUCGUGAGACAGUUCGGUCCCUAUCUGUUGCGGGCGUAAGAGAUUUGAAGGGAGCUGUCCUUAGUACGAGAGGACCGGGAUGGACGUACCUCUGGUGCACCAGUUGUCCUGCCAAGGGCAUAGCUGGGUAGCUAUGUACGGACGAGAUAAACGCUGAAAGCAUCUAAGCGUGAAACUCCCCCUAAGAUGAGAUCUCUCAUCCUUCA
RNAcentral lists this ribosomal RNA (2725 nucleotides) under human gut metagenome. RNAcentral's name for it is "bacterial LSU rRNA". It matches the Rfam family "Bacterial large subunit ribosomal RNA". The record is from RNAcentral.